GAAUAUUGGACAAUGGGGGGAACCCUGAUCCAGCCAUGCCGCGUGUGUGAAGAAGGCCUUUUGGUUGUAAAGCACUUUAAGCGAGGAGGAGGAGCUCUUGGUUAAUACCCAAGAUGCUUGGACGUUACUCGCAGAAUAAGCACCGGCUAACUCUGUGCCAGCAGCGGCGGUAAUACAGAGGGUGCAAGCGUUACUCGGGUUUACUGGGCGUAAGGCGGGCUUAGGUGGCAAAUUAAUCCAAAUGUGAAAUCCCGGAGUUUAACUGGGGAAUGGAAUCGAUACUGGUUGGCUAGAGUAUGGGAGAGGAUGGUAGAAUUCCAGGUGUAGCGGUGAAAUGCGUAGAGAUCUGGAGGAAUACCGAUGGCGAAGGCAGCCAUCUGGCCUAAUACUGACACUGAGGUGCGAAAGCAUGGGGAGCAAACA
This 423-nucleotide ribosomal RNA is filed under the name uncultured bacterium. RNAcentral describes it as "partial 16S ribosomal RNA". It matches the Rfam family "Bacterial small subunit ribosomal RNA", at positions 359 to 774 of the family's 1533-position model. The record is from RNAcentral.